AGCUUGCUCCCUGAAGUCAGCGGCGGACGGGUGAGUAACACGUGGGCAACCUGCCUGUAAGACUGGGAUAACUCCGGGAAACCGGGGCUAAUACCGGAUAACUCUUUUCCUCACAUGAGGAAAAGCUGAAAGAUGGUUUCGGCUAUCACUUACAGAUGGGCCCGCGGCGCAUUAGCUAGUUGGUGAGGUAACGGCUCACCAAGGCCACGAUGCGUAGCCGACCUGAGAGGGUGAUCGGCCACACUGGGACUGAGACACGGCCCAGACUCCUACGGGAGGCAGCAGUAGGGAAUCUUCCGCAAUGGACGAAAGUCUGACGGAGCAACGCCGCGUGAGUGAUGAAGGUUUUCGGAUCGUAAAACUCUGUUGUCAGGGAAGAACAAGUACCGGAGUAACUGCCGGUACCUUGACGGUACCUGACCAGAAAGCCACGGCUAACUACGUGCCAGCAGCCGCGGUAAUACGUAGGUGGCAAGCGUUGUCCGGAAUUAUUGGGCGUAAAGCGCGCGCAGGCGGUUCCUUAAGUCUGAUGUGAAAGCCCCCGGCUCAACCGGGGAGGGUCAUUGGAAACUGGGGAACUUGAGUGCAGAAGAGAAGAGUGGAAUUCCACGUGUAGCGGUGAAAUGCGUAGAGAUGUGGAGGAACACCAGUGGCGAAGGCGACUC
Molecule: ribosomal RNA, 665 nt
Filed under: Cytobacillus sp.
Lineage: Bacteria; Bacillati; Bacillota; Bacilli; Caryophanales; Bacillaceae
Description: bacterial SSU rRNA
Rfam family: Bacterial small subunit ribosomal RNA
Source: RNAcentral